Molecule: ribosomal RNA, 347 nt
Filed under: uncultured Lachnospiraceae bacterium
Lineage: Bacteria; Bacillati; Bacillota; Clostridia; Lachnospirales; Lachnospiraceae
Description: bacterial SSU rRNA
Rfam family: Bacterial small subunit ribosomal RNA
Source: RNAcentral
GAUGAACGCUGGCGGCGUGCUUAACACAUGCAAGUCGAACGAAGCACCUCUAAUUGAAGAUUGAUGAAGCUUGCUUCUGAUUGAUUCGCCUUGAGGUGACUGAGUGGCGGACGGGUGAGUAACGCGUGGGUAACCUACCCUAUACAGGGGGAUAACAGUUGGAAACAGCUGCUAAUACCGCAUAAGCGCACAGCUUCGCAUGAAGCAGUGUGAAAAACUCCGGUGGUAUAGGAUGGACCCGCGUCUGAUUAGCUAGUUGGUGGGGUAACGGCCCACCAAGCCGACGAUCAGUAGGGGUUCUGAGAGGAAGGUCCCCCACAUUGGAACUGAGACACGGUCCAAACUCC